This 440-nucleotide ribosomal RNA is filed under the name uncultured bacterium. RNAcentral's name for it is "partial 16S ribosomal RNA". It matches the Rfam family "Bacterial small subunit ribosomal RNA", at positions 338 to 795 of the family's 1533-position model. The record is from RNAcentral.
CCUACGGGUGGCAGCAGUAGGGAAUAUUGCUCAAUGGGGGAAACUCUGACGCAGCAACGCCGCGUGGAUGAUGAAGGUUUUCGGAUUGUAAACUCCUUUUGUUAGAGAAGAUAAUGCCGGUAUCAAACGAAUAAUCACCGGCUAACUCCGUGCCAGCAGCCGCGGUAAUAAUGAGGGUGCAAGCGUUACUCGGAAUCACUGGGCGUAAAGAGUGCGUAGGCGGGAUGGCAAGUCAGAUGUGAAAUCAUAUGGCUUAACCAUAGAACUGCAAUUGAAACUGUUAUUCUAGAGUAUGGGAGUGGUAGGUGGAAUUCUUGGUGUAGGGGUAAAAUCCGUAGAGAUCAAGAGGAAUACUCAUUGCGAAGGCGAACUGCUAGAACAUAACUGACGCUGAUGCGCGAAAGCGUGGGGAGCAAACAGGAUUAGAUACCCCAGUAGUC